UACGGAGGUGGCAAGCGUUACUCGGAAUUAUUGGGUGUAAAGGGCAAGUAGGCGGUCUAAUAAGUGGGGGGUGAAAUACUUCGGCUCAAUCGGAGAACAGCCUUCCAAACUGUUAGACUUGAGUGUGACAGAGGAAAAUGGAAUUCUUGGUGUAAGGGUGAAAUCUGUAGAUAUCAAGAAGAACACCAGCUGCGAAGGCGAUUUUCUGGGUCAUUACUGACGCUAAAUUGCGAAAGCUAGGGGAGCAAACAGG
This 253-nucleotide ribosomal RNA is filed under the name uncultured bacterium. RNAcentral's name for it is "partial 16S ribosomal RNA". It matches the Rfam family "Bacterial small subunit ribosomal RNA", at positions 524 to 776 of the family's 1533-position model. The record is from RNAcentral.